Molecule: unclassified non-coding RNA, 227 nt
Filed under: uncultured fungus
Lineage: Eukaryota; Fungi
Description: sequence contains ITS1, 5.8S rRNA gene
Rfam family: 5.8S ribosomal RNA (bases 179-227)
Source: RNAcentral
UCUCCGUAGGUGAACCUGCGGAGGGAUCAUUACCGAGUGCGCGCCCCCCGGGGCCGACCUCCAACCCAUUGUUAUCCGACCACGUUGCCUCGGGGGCGACCCUGCCUUUCGGCGCGGCGCCCCCGGAGGCUCAUCAAACACUGCAUCUUUGCGUCGGAGUCUUAAUGAAUUUAAACAAAACUUUUAACAACGGAUCUCUUGGUUCUGGCAUCGAUGAAGAACGCAGC